Molecule: long non-coding RNA, 2627 nt
Organism: Homo sapiens (human)
Lineage: Eukaryota; Metazoa; Chordata; Mammalia; Primates; Hominidae
Gene: ADIRF-AS1
Product: ADIRF antisense RNA 1
Source: Ensembl
GCAGCGCCCCACUCAACAAAGCUUCCCGCGGGCCCUGCCCCAUGACUCACCGCUGGGUGGGGCGGGCACGCAGGCAACCCGCGGGCCGAGACGGGGUAGUGAGGGCCGGAAGCCCGGCUCCCGACUCCGCUUCGUCCCCACAACCUCCGGCCGCCUGAAGUCCUGAGGGGCCGUGGCCCUGGGUCGUCUCCCCUGUUCCCAGCCUCCAGUCGCAGCUGGCGGAGAGAAGUUCCCGAGGCCCCCCCGACUUGCAAGGUCCCUUGCCCCGCCCAGAGCUGAGCCUUCCGAGGAUCUGAGGACCGAGUCCAGCCCAGCUCCCAGGAGGGGCCGGGAUCCUGGGGCAGGGAAUAAGGGGCAGGGGCUGGCUCUAAAGUCGGGCGGGAGAGGGGCACUAACCGAGAUGGGGGCUGAGCCUCCGGUCUGGGAGCUUCGGGAGGCGCGUGGCGGGAUGGAAAACAUUCCUGAGACCGUUGGAUUGGAUUUCCGAAUUUGGGAGGCUAGGACUCCGGCUACGGUGGCUCUGCUCUUGGGAUGAGAGGACUGGGCCCAGCUUGCGAGGAAUCAUGAAGUGGACACAGGGUGGGAACGUGAAUUUUAAUGAGGGGGCAGACCGAGGAGGUGGUGGCUGCCCGGAGAUCAGGGCCAGGCUGUGCUAGAUGGCGCCUGGAAGGGGGGUCACCCAAGUCUCCCUGCUGUCAUUUCAGGAGGCCGACCCAAGUCUCCCUGCUGUCAUUUCAGGAGGCCGAAUUUUUUCCCAAUCCCAGAGAAGGUGUCAGAGGCCUGGUUAGCAGUCUUGUCGAUGGUUUCCUGGGUGGUCUUGGCCAGCUGGUCCAUGGCUGGGGAAGGGCGGGAGAGAGGGCAGGUCAGGCAGGGCCCGGGAACCACAGUGCCUGUAGGCUUAGCCUGGCCUGGGUCUCCCGGGGGACCUGCUUGGGGCAUUGUGGACAGAGGGCUCUGCAGAGGAGAGGAUGUGCCUGGGCCCCAGCCGGGAUGGGGCGGGGAGUGGGAGGUGUGCUGGGGUUGCCCGCCUCCCUCCAGCCCCACCAGACCUUUCUGCCCCGCCUCUGUGGCCUGGUCCACCACUUGCUGAGCUGCCGCUCCGGCCGCUGACACUGGAACAGAGAGAUGUGGCUUUUAGCCCCUGUUGAGGCACCACCGACUACAGGUGCCCCACCAUUGCCAUGCCUCUGUGUCCUCCAGAGUAUUCGGUGGUACAGGUCCAAGGGAUGGAUGCCAUGGAGAUAAAGUCCCUGGCCCAGGGCCCCCCAGCCCGAGGGGCAGGAGACCUUUCCAUGCCUCUGGGAUGUUUUUGUUUAUUUCUAACUCUGAGCUCCUUCUCUGUGGGGGAGGAGCUUCCCUUUCCAUCUCCAGGGCUACUGAGAAAAUGUUGGACAGAGGAAGGAAGGCAGGGCAGGGCCAGGCUGCAGCUAGCAUCUGGACUGUUGGCUAAUGCUGGUGAUGGCGCAGAAGACCCUUGCCCCCUUUUACAGCUUCUCCCCUAGAAGCCUGGCCCAGAUGCCUGAAUUCCCACCUUUCAUGCACUUAGCCCUGGGGCUUGCAGUUUUGCCAGGUCCUUACUGCCUCCUCCCUCCUGUGGCCUGCCCGGAGGGGCACACAAGCAAAGCCAGUGCCUCUGUGGACAGGCAGCUUAAGACAUUAGGAGACAAAUGAAGGAAGGAGGCAAAACUUCCAAGGCCGGACUAUCUCCUCUGGACCAGAGUUUCGGCCUGCUGGGAAUGGAGUCACCAGCCCCGGGGGGGCUGACAGGUGGCUCCCGCCUACAGAGCUGUAACUCAUCCCUGCUGCUGAACAGGAAAGGGCCUGCCUUACCCAGAUCCCAUCCUCCGGAAAGGGUUAGUCAGGCAAGUGUGCUGAGAGGCCCCUGGGAACCUCGUCUCGAUUAACCCAUCAGAAAGCAGCCCAUCCUUUGCACCCAGCUCUCAGAUGGAAAAGUGAAGCCCAGAAGGAAGGGACCUGACACGGAGGCUUCCUUGGUAGCAUUUCAGUCUCAAGGGAAGAACUGUGGGCCUCCCCUGGAGCACUGGUGAACUGGGUCACCUCCAGAAUACGGAGGAGAGAGCUGGAGGUGGAGGAACUAAGGACCUUCUUUGCCAGGUGGGGACUUAAAGUUUCAGUUACUCAUUGUUGGGGCUCAGAAACCAAUACCCCGAAAUAUAGUGGUGUGACAUUCUGAACUGAAGAAGCCUUAAGGUCUCUCCGACCAGACUCCCACAGGCCCCCCAACCCUUUGUCUCUUCCAAAGCAUACAGUGAAGUUGUUCUCUGAAGUUCCUCAUCUGCCUUAAGUCUGGACCCACCAAAGAAGAAAACAAUGACCACUGGUCCCUUCCCGGAGUUUUCUCUGACUGAACUGCUGUCACAGGAAGAAAGACUGAAGCCUGCUCACAUACCUGGACAGAUUUUGCAAACCGUUGUCUGCUCUGUGAGCCCAACAGACUUUGUCCCAGGCCACUGUAUGUUCUUCAAGCCCACUGAAUUCCCCUGAAAAUCAUUUACUAGCCCCCUGAAAUUACCCACACUUCCCCAUUGCUCAUCUGUACCCCAUUUCGUGGUGGGGCAGUCACUCUGAUUUCCCCUUGCAUGCUAAUGAAUGUGUAUUCCAUUUCU